This is a non-coding RNA of Coffea arabica (coffee), 1334 nucleotides long. NCBI's taxonomy places the organism in Eukaryota, Viridiplantae, Streptophyta, Magnoliopsida, Gentianales, Rubiaceae. The record is from RefSeq and is a predicted model, not a curated record.
AAAGUAUCAUUACUAUUUAGAUCUGUUGCACAGAACCUACCGGUUAGGGGCUUGGAUUAUCUUAUGGGUAUAUGAUAUCCUAUGUCCACUUUUCUUGACACCUGAAAAAAGCUCCUAACUAAAAAUAUUCUGAUGACAAAGUUUUGAAGAGGGCCUAAUUUUUAACAUGGAAACUGAUUUGUAUUGAAGAUCCUGGAGCUGGAUUUGAAGAAUGUAUGUAGUUUCUUAUUUUUUUAAAGAAGUAAUUGAGAUGAAAAUUUAUAUUCUACAAAACAGUGGGAAAAAAAUAAAAAGGAGCCGAAGUUUGAAUAGAAAGAUUCGAAGGCAGAUGAAGUUCCUAAUUCGUAUUAGGUUGCUAAUUCUGAUCAUUUUUCUCUGCAGUUCAAGAAUUCUGAUCAUUAUCCUGCGGCCAGAGCAGAGGAAUAUAUUCUCCAUCUGGUAGCUUAUUUCUUACUGUAUCUCUGAUAUGGCCUUGUAGAUAGCUCAUGUCAUAGUGGUAAUGUGUAAAGCUAGACUUGAAACGGACUUCUUGUAAUAUAAAUGAGAUUUUGUGUAGAGCAACAAGAUGCUUCUGUAAGGCGCCUGAUUCUAGCACCCCCUCUAUUCUACUCUGCCAACAGCUUCUGUCUUCCUUUUUGUCAAAAGCUCCAAACACAUUUUGAGAAAAGUUGAGGAUAAAAGCAUCUCCUUUAUUGCUUCAGUAGGGCCCUUGAAAGUCUUUGUUCUGUACUAGUACUCUUUGUCAACAUAAUAGCUGUCAAGAUUAGAUUGUGUUUGGCCCAGGUAUAAUCGGGAUUUCCCAAAAACCUGCUGACUUAUGGUGUCAUACAGGAGGUGGAAGGCUAAAACAGUUAAUCAUUUCUUCGGAAUUUUGCAGUGUAAAUGGACCAAAAGUCCUGAACUUCGUUGUCUUUGAGGGCACUUGGAUGCGCUUUCCCAAUCUAGUCAAGGUUUUGCACCCUGUAGAUUAAUUGGUUGCAGUAGGACGAAAAGAGUUUUAAACGUGCACUUUUGGCUCGAAUGUCAAUGAAGCUUCUUUCUCUUUUAGCUGGUAGCUUGAGAGGGAUGUUUAUGCAUUGCUUCCUCGCCUUUUCUGAAUUGGUGUGACUAGUUAUGGAAUCUGAUCCUUUUAGGAUAAAGACAUCUUUGAAUUGAUGCUUAUGUGAUGGAUAUUCCCCUCCCAUGGAUGAAUGGAAAAUCAGGUCAGCAGCAGCAGCCCACCGAUAAUCCUUGUACCAUCCAAUCAGCUAUCAGACCACUGCAAUAUUAUUGCUUGUUUUUGUUUUUCCUCUUUUCAAAAGGAAUCUGGUUCCAUCUUAAUUCCCUAUUUCUGG